This 255-nucleotide ribosomal RNA is filed under the name uncultured bacterium. RNAcentral's name for it is "partial 16S ribosomal RNA". It matches the Rfam family "Bacterial small subunit ribosomal RNA", at positions 524 to 777 of the family's 1533-position model. The record is from RNAcentral.
UACGUAGGGGGCAAGCGUUGUCCGGAAUCAUUGGGCGUAAAGCGCGUGUAGGCGGUUCGGUAAGUCGGCUGUGAAAGUCCAGGGCUCAACCCUGGGAUGCCGGUCGAUACUGCCGGACUAGAGUUCGGAAGAGGCGAGUGGAAUUCCCGGUGUAGCGGUGAAAUGCGCAGAUAUCGGGAGGAACACCAAUGGCGAAGGCAGCUCGCUGGGACGUUACUGACGCUGAGACGCGAAAGCGUGGGGAGGCAAACAGGG